This 29-nucleotide non-coding RNA is filed under the name Mus musculus (house mouse). The record is from RNAcentral. Lineage: Eukaryota; Metazoa; Chordata; Mammalia; Rodentia; Muridae.
CAUCCCUAAGUAAGGCAAGACUUAACGCC